This 497-nucleotide ribosomal RNA is filed under the name uncultured bacterium. RNAcentral's name for it is "partial 16S ribosomal RNA". It matches the Rfam family "Bacterial small subunit ribosomal RNA", at positions 28 to 507 of the family's 1533-position model. The record is from RNAcentral.
GAUGAACGCUGGCGGCGUGCCUAAUACAUGCAAGUCGAGCGAACAGACGAGGAGCUUGCUCCCCUGACGUUAGCGGCGGACGGGUGAGUAACACGUGGAUAACCUACCUAUAAGACUGGGAUAACUUCGGGAAACCGGAGCUAAUACCGGAUAACAUGUUGAACCGCAUGGUUCAACAGUGAAAGACGGUCCUGCUGUCACUUAUAGAUGGAUCCGCGCCGCAUUAGCUAGUUGGUAAGGUAACGGCUUACCAAGGCAACGAUGCGUAGCCGACCUGAGAGGGUGAUCGGCCACACUGGAACUGAGACACGGUCCAGACUCCUACGGGAGGCAGCAGUAGGGAAUCUUCCGCAAUGGGCGAAAUCCUGACGGAGCAACGCCGCGUGAGUGAAGAAGGUCUUCGGAUCGUAAAACUCUGUUAUUAGGGAAGAACAAAUGUGUAAGUAACUAUGCACGUCUUGACGGUACCUAAUCAGAAAGCCACGGCUAACUACGUG